UACGUAGGCAGCAAGCGUUGUUCGGAGUUACUGGGCGUAAAGGGUGCGUAGGCGGCGGAGUAAGUUGGGUGUGAAAUCCCGGGGCUUAACCUCGGAAUGGCAUUCAAUACUGCUUCGCUUGAGUACUGGAGAGGAGGCUGGAAUUUACGGUGUAGCAGUGAAAUGCGUAGAUAUCGUAAGGAAGGCCGGUGGCGAAAGCGAGCCUCUGGACAGUUACUGACGCUGAUGCACGAAGGCCAGGGGAGCAAACGGG
Molecule: ribosomal RNA, 253 nt
Filed under: uncultured bacterium
Lineage: Bacteria
Description: partial 16S ribosomal RNA
Rfam family: Bacterial small subunit ribosomal RNA
Source: RNAcentral